RNAcentral lists this long non-coding RNA (703 nucleotides) under Homo sapiens (human). Its description in RNAcentral is "HSALNT0331161". The record is from RNAcentral. Lineage: Eukaryota; Metazoa; Chordata; Mammalia; Primates; Hominidae.
GAGCCAACCUGGCCUGGUGACCUUCUCUGUGCAAGCAGGGAGCAGGCACACACCACCAAUGAGUGAAGAAGGCUGCUGUGGCAUGCUCGGGACCUAGAGGGAACCUGCCUCAUUGACAGGGGACAGCAGCUGCACAGCUCCAGACAAUCGUUGUCAAGGACGGGAAUGAGAUUCUAACAUGGCUGAUCUGAUUUUUCAAGAAAGAAAUGACUUCUGGCAACUGACAGGCUCCACGUUGAGUGUUCACACUGUGCCCAAUUCUGCCCUGAGCACUUUGCUUGGUUUCUCCACAACAAUAUUGUGAUCAGUAUAAUUACUGUUAUUCCCAUUUUAUAGAUGAGAAAAAUAGUAAUGGAGGAAAUGGAAGGAAAAAGGAUGGCCAUAAGUUGGAGGCAGGUGAAAGACCCAAAUUCAUGGAAGAGAAGUGAGUCACACAGGGAGCCAGUGGCAGAGCCACACCCCACAGAGCAAUCAACAUGCUCUACUCUGCAGACCUGCAACAGGGAGGGAAGCCAGACUCUGAUGCAAGAAGGAAAGACCAUGUGCUGGCUCAGUGUGUGCAGCCUGGACUGAGCUACUGAACUCUAAAUCCAAGGAUGACUAAUAGGCAGAAUGACAUUAAUACCAGACCUGAUGAAGACAGCACAAAAAGUAAAUCUCAACACAACCUCACAAUAUUAAUAAAGCAAAAAUUUUAAAUACA